UACAGAGGUGGCAAGCGUUGUUCGGAAUUACUGGGCGUAAAGGGCGUGUAGGCGGCCUUCUAAGUCAGACGUGAAAUCCCCCGGCUUAACCUGGGAACUGCGUCUGAUACUGGGAGGCUCGAGUAUGGGAGAGGGAUGUAGAAUUCCAGGUGUAGCGGUGAAAUGCGUAGAUAUCUGGAGGAAUACCGGUGGCGAAGGCGGCAUCUUGGACCAUUACUGACGCUGAAUCGCGAAAGCUAGGGGAGCAAACGGG
RNAcentral lists this ribosomal RNA (253 nucleotides) under uncultured bacterium. Its description in RNAcentral is "partial 16S ribosomal RNA". It matches the Rfam family "Bacterial small subunit ribosomal RNA", at positions 524 to 776 of the family's 1533-position model. The record is from RNAcentral.